This 305-nucleotide long non-coding RNA is filed under the name Elaeis guineensis (African oil palm). RNAcentral's name for it is "long non-coding RNA (EGUI_LNC013960)". The record is from RNAcentral. Lineage: Eukaryota; Viridiplantae; Streptophyta; Magnoliopsida; Arecales; Arecaceae.
AUCCUCACCCAACUGGCUAUCAAUUCUCCUUAAGUGCUAGCUCGAGGUUCAGUUUCGAGGAGGUAGGCAUCUUCCUUGGGAGCGUAGGUUAUCCCCCCCUCUGAUCAGUCGCUUUGGGGGAUUAGCUCCCCCCUUCAUUUGCUUCAUCUUCUCUCUGAGAUGCAGCAAUGCCUCAGAGCUCUUCCCACAGAUCUUCUGACCAAGCCAACCAUAUAUGAAGUGGAGAACUUAACCAGCAAAUGAUAGGUUGACACCAUGGAUCGGAGAAUGUUCAACUCCAGUCGACUUAUUAUGACAUUAUAGGC